RNAcentral lists this non-coding RNA (37 nucleotides) under Nostocales cyanobacterium HT-58-2. The record is from RNAcentral. Lineage: Bacteria; Bacillati; Cyanobacteriota; Cyanophyceae; Nostocales.
CUUUCAACCCGCCUCAAGCUAGGAGGGGCGUUGAAAC